Non-coding RNA from Cherax quadricarinatus, 1661 nucleotides. The record is from RefSeq and is a predicted model, not a curated record. NCBI's taxonomy places the organism in Eukaryota, Metazoa, Arthropoda, Malacostraca, Decapoda, Parastacidae.
UAACAAGAUCAACGGUCUCCCCUCCUCCCAUCCCAUCAAUCAUCACCAGAUCUUCAAUAAAGGUAAGUGUCAUGUAACUGUGCAUGUCUUCAGUUUGUGUGUAUUAAAAUUAAUAUUUCAUGUGGUAAAUUUUUUUUUUUUUUCAAUACUUUGGGGUGUCUUGCACGGAUUAAUUUGAUUUCCAUUAUUUCUUAUGGGGAAAAUUAACUUGACUAACGAUUAUUUUGAUUAACGAUGAGCUCUCAGGAACGGAUUAAUAUCGCUGGUUGAGGGUCCACUGUAUAUAUUUAUGACUCCAGUGGGUUUAAUGCUUUCCCCUGAAUUGUUCCAUCUUGCUGUAAGAGUCAAGUUUGCUCUUAGCAGAUGGAGGAUCGAGCCUCCACUGGUCCUUGUGGUGUGCUGUUCCUUGUUGACCGAGCAGCGAGUCAGGACCAGCAGCACACACGAGCACCAGGGUAGGAGCCUACACUCCAAAAUUAUAUUUUUAAAAGCAAACAAGGGUGUACAAGUACAUCAAAAACUGUUUUAUAAAGGGUUUAUUAUAUGCAGUUUUGAUGAUGAUUUUCCCUUAUUGAAUGCUUGUAGUGAAUUUACUUAAUAUUAAAACUAAAUUCCUAUCAUGUAUUUUUAUUAAUUUCAUUUUUGUUUUAUUCAUUGAGCUAUAUGAUGCAGUAUAUCCUGUAUUAAUAGAUUAAUUUUUUCUCAUGUCAGUAAAUGUUGUGUAUAGUUUCUUGCAUCCCUGUUUAUUAGUCUUGAUGGUAGUUAUCACAUGUGCUUUUUCUGCUUUAUGACCCUAAAGGGUUUAGUGCAUUUUCAUAUAUAGAAUAAAUACAAUUGAUUGCUUUCUUCCAAGAAGGGUAAUAGUUAGCCUUUUCUCUGGGUGCCUUGCAGGCAGGAGGUGAAGAUGGUGUAUGGGCCCUACUACAAUAAGUCUUACAGGUUUUCCCAGCAACAGCAGAAUUAACUUGGAGUAAGGGGGUUGUUAAUUAAGGAAUGCCUAAGGUGAGGCAGACAUAGUGCAAUGUGUCCACAGUUUAACCAUCACAACUGCACAAGUCCAGACAUCAAUCCUACAUCUGUGAAAUAUACUUAAUUUGGUUUUCAUAACUUGCAGAAUAUUUAUUAUUCUUCAUAAGGUAUAUUUGCAGCAGUAAAUUAUUAUUAUUAUUAUAAUCAAGGGGGAAGCGCUAAACCCGGAGGAUUAUACAGCGCCUGGGGGGGGGGAUGUGGAAGGCAUUCAGGCUUAAUUCGGGGAACUGGAGCACAGAUCCAAUUCCCUAAAUCAAGAGCCCCUCACCAACAUCAAGGAACCUUCCUUGAGGGGAUUUGCAGCAGUAAAAAUUAUAGACUUGAAGGGAAAAAUGUGACAAUUUAUAAUAUACAUUACUGGAUUUAAAAUUCUCUUGCCAUUGCAUUAACUUAAGGAUUAUGGUGAUCUGGUGAACAUUUGCUUGUUUAUUUACCUGAAUGUGUGUAUAGUUAAUGAAUGACCAAGUUUGAUAGGAUGCACGAUGUAUGGAUGGACAGUAAAGGUGGUAGAUUUAUUUCUAUGGUUGUCAUAUUUGAAAGUUUCAUUCCACAAAUUUUGGGUGUUUUAGAGUCAUGCUUGUUAGUGUGAUGCAUUGUAGGAGUGAAGAAGUGAUAUAAAGCCACAAAUGUUU